Molecule: non-coding RNA, 204 nt
Organism: Pelobates cultripes (western spadefoot toad)
Lineage: Eukaryota; Metazoa; Chordata; Amphibia; Anura; Pelobatidae
Source: the annotation of a GenBank genome assembly
UGUGUGUGUGUGUUUGUGUCUGACUGUGUGUGUGUAUGUGACUGUGUGUGUCUGUGUGUGUUUGUGUGUCUGUUUGUGUCUGACUGUGUGUGUCUGACUGUGUGUGUGUGUUUGUGUCUGACUGUGUAUGUGUGUGUGUGUGUGUGUGUGUGUGUUUGUGUCUGACUGUGUCUGUGUAUGUGUCUGACUGUGUGUGUGUGUGUG